RNAcentral lists this transfer RNA (82 nucleotides) under Endocronartium harknessii PhW48OC. RNAcentral's name for it is "tRNA-Und (NNN) (tRNA-Und-NNN-17-1)". It matches the Rfam family "tRNA". From Rfam's summary of the family: Transfer RNA (tRNA) molecules are approximately 80 nucleotides in length. Their secondary structure includes four short double-helical elements and three loops (D, anti-codon, and T loops). The record is from RNAcentral. Lineage: Eukaryota; Fungi; Basidiomycota; Pucciniomycetes; Pucciniales; Coleosporiaceae.
GACUGGAUAGCCUAGCAGUCAAGGCAUCACAUAUGAGUUGUGUUCCACUUAAGGGUCCUUGGUUCAAAUCUGAGUCUAGUCA